AAGUUCCGUAGGUGAACCUGCGCCCCGUGAACCUUUAUUGUGGCACGUCUAUCCGUCAGAAAGUGGCAAUCCCUGGUAACGAACAGUUUUGAUUCAGGGACCUCUGCGUGGGUAGGACAACUGCGCGAGCAACUGGCAUCCCUCCCCUAAUCACCUUUGCAUGAAAACGGGCCUGCUUAAUUGUGCGGCCACAAACUCGAACAACUGUUAACAAUGGAUAUCUUGGUUCUC
This 231-nucleotide unclassified non-coding RNA is filed under the name fungal sp. RNAcentral describes it as "partial internal transcribed spacer region". Lineage: Eukaryota; Fungi. The record is from RNAcentral.